RNAcentral lists this ribosomal RNA (305 nucleotides) under uncultured bacterium. RNAcentral's name for it is "bacterial SSU rRNA". It matches the Rfam family "Bacterial small subunit ribosomal RNA", at positions 334 to 656 of the family's 1533-position model. The record is from RNAcentral.
UCGUCCUACGGGGGGCAGCAGUGGGGGAUAUUGCACAAUGGGGGAAACCCUGAUGCAGCGACGCCGCGUGAGUGAAGAAGGUCUUCGGAUUGUAAAGCUCUGUUCUUGGUGAAGAUAAUGACGGUAGCCAAGGAGAAAGCUCCGGCUAACUACGUGCCAGCAGCCGCGGUAAUACGUAGGUGGCAAGCGCUGUCCGGAUUUACUGGGUGUAAAGGGCGUGUAGCCGGGUUGACAAGUCAGAUGUGAAAUCCUGCGGCUUAACCGCAGAACUGCAUUUGAAACUGUUGAUCUUGAGUACUGGAGAG